RNAcentral lists this ribosomal RNA (406 nucleotides) under uncultured bacterium. Its description in RNAcentral is "partial 16S ribosomal RNA". It matches the Rfam family "Bacterial small subunit ribosomal RNA", at positions 30 to 526 of the family's 1533-position model. The record is from RNAcentral.
AUUGAACGCUGGCGGCAGGCCUAACACAUGCAAGUCGAACGAGUGGCGGACGGGUGAGUAAUGUCUGGGAAACUGCCUGAUGGAGGGGGAUAACUACUGGAAACGGUAGAUAAUACCGCAUCCCAUCGGAUGUGCCCAGAUGGGCUGAGCUAGUAGGUGGGGUAAAGGCUCACCUAGUCGACGAUCCCUAGCUGGUCUGAGAGGAUGACCAGCCACAGUGGAACUGAGACACGGUCCAGACUCCUACGGGAGGCAGCAGUGGGGAAUAUUGCACAAUGGGCGCAAGCCUGAUGCAGCCAGGCGGCGUGUAUGAAGAAGGCCUUCGGGUUGUAAAGUACUUUCAGCGUGGAGGCGUUACCCGCAGAAGAAGCACCGGCUAACUCCGUGCCAGCAGCCGCGGUAAUUC